This 484-nucleotide ribosomal RNA is filed under the name uncultured bacterium. RNAcentral describes it as "partial 16S ribosomal RNA". It matches the Rfam family "Bacterial small subunit ribosomal RNA", at positions 30 to 507 of the family's 1533-position model. The record is from RNAcentral.
AUUGAACGCUGGCGGCAGGCCUAACACAUGCGAGUCGAGCGGAUGAAGGGAGCUUGCUCCUGGAUUCAGCGGCGGACGGGUGAGUAAUGCCUAGGAAUCUGCCUGGUAGUGGGGGAUAACGUCCGGAAACGGGCGCUAAUACCGCAUACGUCCUGAGGGAGAGAGUGGGGGAUCUUCGGACCUCACGCUAUCAGAUGAGCCUAGGUCGGAUUAGCUAGUUGGUGGGGUAAAGGCCUACCAAGGCGACGAUCCGUAACUGGUCUGAGAGGAUGAUCAGUCACACUGGAACUGAGACACGGUCCAGACUCCUACGGGAGGCAGCAGUGGGGAAUAUUGGACAAUGGGCGAAAGCCUGAUCCAGCCAUGCCGCGUGUGUGAAGAAGGUCUUCGGAUUGUAAAGCACUUUAAGUUGGGAGGAAGGGCAGUAAGUUAAUACCUUGCUGUUUUGACGUUACCAACAGAAUAAGCACCGGCUAACUUCGUG